This 11026-nucleotide long non-coding RNA is filed under the name Nicotiana tabacum (common tobacco). RNAcentral describes it as "long non-coding RNA (NTAB_LNC003160)". The record is from RNAcentral. Lineage: Eukaryota; Viridiplantae; Streptophyta; Magnoliopsida; Solanales; Solanaceae.
CUUGAGGGAACUCUAUAUAUACCAAUAGAUUUGAUAGGAAGAAGAAAAAAAAAAGGAAACCUAGAGAUAAAAAUAGCUAAGCGGCGCAGCAGAAACUCCAGAAAACAAAAAAUAGUUGCACCUCUUUCUUUUUCCCCUUCAACUCAUCAUCAUCUUCAACCCACAAAAUAUCCAUGAAAACCACCAUCUUUCCUCCAUAAAACCCACUUGAAAAUAGCCUUUUAAACCUAGCAAAAACCACUCAAAAACAAGCGCAAAUCCAUCGUCAAACUCUAAGAAAAACUGUCCAAAACCCAGCAUUAAACUACAACCAAAUCAGCACCGAAAAUGCCCCAAAAUCCAUCUCCAAAGUGACUCAAAAUGUCACCCGAACCACCCCCAAAACUCAGCAAAAUCAGCCCCAAAAAUCAUCCGCAAAGCAGCUCCAAAGAGCAGCCAAAUCAGCUGAGAAAUUACUGGUAAAAAAACCUGUCCAAAACCCCCCAGAAAAGCUGUCCAAAAUUAGUGCCAAAAAUAUGACGAAAAACCGUCUGAAGCCAGCCACAAGCCUCCAUCAAAAUUACCACUUUAUACUCGAAAUAGUUGUCCAAAUCUAUUCGAGUCGGUAUCAUUUUCGUGUAGAUCUUGGUUUGAGUUCGCCAUUGAAGUUACGGUCGAUUGGUUCUAUAGCAUUUGAAGGUCCCUGUUUUGCUCUUGCUUCGGUCAAAUUGUAGUUGUUGUUUCCUUGUAUUUUGACAUUGGCAGCGGUGCUUCAAUGUAAAGGAAGUUUCCAGUAAUAAAGUCCAAUAUUUAAACUUAUGUUAUCUCAAUUUUGUCCUGCUAGCAUAAUGAAUGAUUCUGGUUAUUUGUUGCUAUUCCAUGUUAUCUUGUCUUUCGUAGUAGUCUUAAUUAGCUGGUCUUUUGUCUUAAGCUAUGACUUGAUUUGUGAGAUUCAUGCUCAGCUCAUUAUUUACAACUUAAUAUCUGUUAUAUGUUGAUUUGCUAUCUCCCCUUGGUAUAGUUAAUACAUUAGCAUCAUGGUUCAUUAAAGAAGCUACUGUUUGAAUUCAUGGGAAGUGUAGGACAGUUAAUCGUGUUGGGUUUUUGUAAUUCACGGGUUUAUGGUAAUUGAUUUAAUUUUGGGCUUUACUUUAUCCUUACCCUUUAAUAUUCGGGUCAUUAGCACUUGGUUUGAGAUAAGCGAUUUGGCCUAUUUUACAUAACUGAUAAUUGCUAGAUUAGUCUAAAUAGCUUAAUAAACUUCAUGUAUUCCAAACACCUCCAAUUUCAUAAGUCAUGGCCUUACAACAACCUUAAAACUAGUUUAGGAAAAUAAUCACACAACUGCAGUUUGCUUUAGGCGCGGUUAAUAAAUCAUUGUGGCCAUGUGUACGGUUCCCGUAGCAUGGUCACGAUACAUAUUUUCCAAUUCAGGUGUGCAUUUUAUAUGACCCGACCACAACUUAAAACAAUAUAAAAAUAAAUAUGUUGUAAAUCGCGGGUGCAUUUCAUGUGGCGCAGUUUGCACUAUGUACCAAAGACAAGUGUACGACAUCGUGACUUGUUCCAAAAAUAAUUCCAUAAAUAAAUAAAAGCAGUUAUAGAGUUAAAAAUACACACACAUUUAAAAUAUGUAAUAAAUCAGAUAAUUAGGCCAAUUAUCAAUAGUUGAGCGACCGUGCUAAAACUACGGAAUCCGGGAGUGCCUCACACCUUCUCCCGGUUUAACAGAAUUCCUUACCGAUCCUCUGUGUUCGCGGACCAAAACUAGAGUCAAUUUCCUCGAUUUGGGAUUUAAAAUAAAUCGGUGACUUGGGACACCAUAAACUAUUCCAAGUGGCGACUCUAAAAAAUUAAAUAAAUAAUCUCAUUUCGAUUAAUGUCACUUUAAUUGGAAAAACUUUCCUAUACCCGUCAGAAAAAAGGAGGUGUGACAGCUCUGGCGACUCUGCUGGGGAAACAAACCUAGAACUUAUGGUUUAGAGUUCAGAAUUCGAGCUUAGAAUAACUGUUAUAGUUGGCUUUUAUUUAUUAUCUAAUUUUUUUUACGUGUUUUAGCUUGAUGUGCUAAAUGCCACUUUUUACCGCUUUGAUAUUAUAUGAACUGUAUAUAAACUAUUACAAAAUCCUUCUUCUCUCUGAGUCUUCUAAAUCUUCUGGGAAGUGCACACUGGCGUGACUUCUUUUCUGUUAGAGUCAUACCCUAAUUUAGAACGAGGAUCAGAUCAGUUACAAAGCCGGAUGGCCUUUUGGUUAUCGGUACGUUGCCCCUUUCCCCCCCCCCCCCCUCCCCGGCUCGAGUUGUCUACUCGGGUAAGCCAGGAGAAUAAUACACCCAGGUUUUAAACCUAGAAUAACAUAGCCUCAUGCCGGAUUCCUAGUAGGAACGCUUGCAUUUGACUUUGGGGACUCAACACAGGGUUUGGUUCCGUCUAGGACAGGUGUAACCGAAAUAAAAAGACCAUCCUGAUGCAUCUUACGUGCUACUUGCGCAUCUGUUUGUUUUGGCUUACGUGCUGACUGGCUUUUAGAAUGGGAAAAGAAAAAUAAAAAAAUAGAGAAAAUAAUAAAUAAAAACAAGAGUGAGAGGUAGGUAUUAAAAAAAUCAAAACUCUGCCGAAAUUUUGAAGAAAAUAAAAGAGAAAGAAAAUAAGAUAAUGUUUUCAAAAGAUCAUGUUUCCCUUGUUCCGUCAAAACAGACUGAACUACGCGGGUCUAAUUCUCAUCGGAUGUGAGAUACGUAGGCAAACUUUAUCGGUUCCAGCCCCAAUUUCUAAAAAUUCAAAAAUAUUUUCCUUUAAUUCCUUCAUUAGAAGCAUUUCCUUAGAAAAUUCAAAAGAAAAAGAUUUUUAAACUCAAAAAAAAUAGUUUUCUUCUUUCUGAAGUCUUUCAUACGGAAAAAAAAAAACAACAAAAUCCAAAAUACAGAUUUCCUUUAUUUUAAAGUAUUUUUCCCAAAAAUUCAAAAAAAAAUCAAAAAAAAAGAAUCCAAAAAAUAUUCUUAUCCUUCUUUAAAAAUCUUUCUUUCGUAAAUAUCAUAAAAUAAUUGAAACGUUGAAGUCCAAAAAUAUUUUUGUUUUUCUUUAGAAGUACUUUUGUAAUAAAAAAAAACUCAGAAAUCCAAAAUAUUUUCUUAGCCCCUCUUUCGAAAAUUAAGAGGCAACAUCCAAAAUUCAAAAACAUUUUCUUUCUUCUUUAGAAAAAGAGAAAACAAAUGAAAAUUCAAAAAAUAAUCUUUUUACUUUUGAAAUUCCCAAAGUUCAAAUCAAAGAAAAGGAAUUUUUAGAAGUCUUUCUUUCAAAAAAAAAAUCAAAAUUAAAAAUCCAAAAAAUAUUUCUUUUUUUAUUUUAAAGCAUUUUUUUUAAAACUCCAAAAUAAAUACAAAAAAAAUCAAAAAAAUAUAUAUGUUUUUCUUUUUCUUAAAGCUUUCAUGGUCCGAGUUUUAUAAAAAGUAAACAAAAAAAGUGAGUUAGUUUAAUUACUCUAUUCUCGAUCUUCCUGAACUAUGCAAGAUCUUAUUCAUGCUGCAUCAUGAUACUUAGGCAAUCCCCAUCGGAUUCGAUCAUAGCUAUAAAAUAAAUUGAGUGAAAAAUAAACUAAAAAAAUUGAGUGAAGAAGAAAGAAAUGAGUGAAAAAAAAGGAAUGACAAAACAAAAAGAGAACAAGAGAGUGCCAAAUAUAAAAGAGCGACAGAAACAAAAGGAAAAAAAUCAAAAGUGAUUAAAGAGAGGUAGAAAUAAAAGAAAAGAGGUACAUACUGAAAGGAUUAGUUGAGGCCGGGAUGAAACAUGCAACCGUUAGUUAAGGCCCGGAUGAAACAUGCAACCGUUCAAACACAUGGUAGAAGCAUUUAACUGUUAGGUGCAUUGCAUCCCAACUUGCGAUUUCCUAUAUGCUAAAUGUUUCAAAACUAACAAGGUUGUUGGGUGUGCAAAUUAGCCAGGUUCUGUUCAGGUGGUUAGUUUUGUUGAUAAUCUGGCUUUCCAUCCUUACUUCACAAGAUCCAAAGGCAUGGUUCCUAUGGCCUCGGUCCCACCAUACUAUUAUCCCUUUCAAGAUGUUGCUUAUGUUGUGGCACUGCCUCCCUACGCGGUGAUGAGCAUGCAACCUUACAUGCGGCCACAACAUUAUACACAAAAACAAGAUCCACCUCCCAGAAAUGCCCAUCCUUGCCAAGCUUCAAAUAAUCCCAACCAAAUGUCCCCCAGUACAACCCCCCUCCCCCCAAGAGAGCCUUUCAGAAAGAAUCAGUUCACCCCUAUUGGUGAAUCAUAUUCGGGCUUGUUCCAAAAGCUAGUCAGGCGAGGUCUGCUGUAGCCAGUGGCCCCAAACCAGCCAAACCCCGAGUCUCCCUCACACCAAGCGAUGCCAUAUGUGAAUACCACUCCGCAAUGGGACACAGUACAGAGGGCUGUUGGACCCUCAAAAGGGCAAUUGAAGACUUAAUCGAAGCUGAAAUAAUCGUUCUUCGGGACGAAAAAGGCUCCUAAUGGACAAAUAAUCCAUUGCUUGCUCACAACACCAGGCCAAUAGUCGGAAUGAUUCGUGAAAAGAGGAAUUUGAUCCAGCACUAAAGGCCAUUGCAGCCAUUGUCGAGACAGAAGAAAAUCCAAAAAGCGAUCGACAAGCUUGAAAGUUCCCCAUCAGAUGGGAGUCUCGAUAGCCAGUCUUGCUAUAUUUUCUGCGUUCGGAUUAUCUCAGGGUGUGAUCCGGAUGUUUCACUUUCCGAUGUAAACCCUUAUAUCUUUAAAAUUCAAAAAAAAUCAAAUAAAAAAGAAAUCAUUUCAUUACCUAGGAAUGUCUCUUUUCUUAUUGUAACUUUUCUUAUUCUCUUUUUAAUUCUGUUAAAUGCAGAUUUCAAUAACAUGACAUGCUUGCGGACUUCAUGCCCAGAUCCUAAAACGCUGUCAGACCUCGAAAUAAUGAAUCAAAAAAUAGAUUGUAAUGAAGAUAAGUUUUAGGAAAUAAAACAAAGAGUUGGAACAACUAAAGAAAAAUUGGCUCCAGAUUGUAAAGAUCCAUACAUGGUAACAAGGGUACUUCCAAAAAGAGCGUUGUACCUGGGAAACAUCCAAAGAAAUGUCCCUAAAACAACUACCAAUGUAGGUUCAGUCAAAAGGUACUAUGUUUGAUCCUCUAUAUAGUAUUAACGCUCCGAUUGGGAUGAAGAAGGCUUUUAUUUUCGCUAACUAAAUACCAUUAACCCUUUUUUAAUCUCUUUGAGCCGGUUCCCUUUCUUUGAUUACCCUCUUUGGAAUCUGAAAGUGUUAUUGAAAAAAAAUGAAAGAAUGAAAUGAAAAAUGAAAAACAAAAUGAAAAAAGAGAAGAAAAAGAAAGAUACAAAAAAGGGAAGAAAAGGCAAAAAGAAAAUGAAAUGAAAAAUGAAAAAAAAAAGAGGAAAAAGGAAAGGAAAAAGAAAGAGAAAACAAAAGAAAAUAGAAAAACAAAAGAAAAAAAACAAAGUUCCUUGAACUUGUUCAACUUGAUUCCAAAAGGAUACGUAGGCAGACUCUCUCUGGGGUUCAGUCACACCAAAAUAAAAAUCCAAAUUCCUCUAAUUUGAAACUGGGGCAGAAGUUAUAAUGGUUUGACGAUGGUUUCGCCCGAAAGGUUCCAAAGUCAUAACUCUAUCCAAAUCCUUUUUACCCAAACCUUAUUCAAGUCCUUCUGAUCAAUCGGCAAAGAUGUUCAAAAUGGGAGGAUACAGUUACUUGGAUCUGACACAACAAAAUGAGAGAAUUAAAAUGAAAGUCUUAUCGGUGAAAACUCUCACGGGCAACAUAAGGUGAUGGUAAGCAGAGAAAUGGAAAAUAAGAGAGUCUUGUUAGUGAAAACUCGCAAAGAGCACUAUAAUACGAUGGUGAGAAGAGAAAUAAGAGUGGUCAGAUAGUGAAAACCCGCAAAGGGCACCACUGAUCAAAAAAGAGGAUAUUCGGUCACUGACAUUGACACAGUCCUGGGCAUGGUUUCUCGAUUUCGAGGCAAAAGUUGUGAUGAAUUUCUGAGAGUCAGACGGUUUGCACGGAUCAGGCAUCCAGUCCAAAAGGCGUGUCAUAUUCGUUGAAGUCCGCAUGUACUCUAGAUAAGUCCUUCUUUCCUUUCCUCAAAAGGGACGUCUUGUAUAAAUUCAUUUGUCCAUUCCAUUGUUUAUUUUUCCUUUGAAUCCCUUUCGGUCUAACUCUAUUUUGAAACUGAGACAAAGAAGGUUUACAGGGUUCUCAUUUGAUACAAGCUAAUAUGCAAAAAAGACACCCAGCCUCGUCAGGGGCAUCAAGUCGACCUCGACCGGCCAUGACGGCCAAUGCUUCGAAAUCAAAUCGAAGUGCCUAUAAAGGUAAAUGAAGUUGAAAAGGUUAAGUUCCACGUGGCUAAUAGUCUCGGCAAAAAUUUGAAAAAGCCAAGGGAUCCCAAAUGCUCUGAAACUAAAGUUGGAAUAAAGAAGCCAAAAAUGAAAGGCCUAUGAAGGCGAAAUAAAGUUGGAAAAGAUUAAGUCCUACGCGACUAGCCGUCGCGACAAAGUUUGAGGAGCCAAAAGUUCCUCAAUGCUCCGAAGUUUUAAAAAAACAACAAGUCAGAAGGGAAGGGCCUAUAGAAGCAAAAUAAAGUCAAAAAGGUUGAGUCCCAUCGACCAAUCGUCAUGCAAAUUGUGGAAAAGCUAGAGUUUCUACAGGGUCAGAAAUGCAAUCGGUAUUCAGGAAACAAUCAAGCCGAGAUCAAGUGGUUAAAAUAAUCAAGGCCACAAAACCAACCACCGUUUUAAACUGACAAAUUGUUUUUUGUUUGAAAAAUAAGAAACAGGUGCAAUGCACAAGCAAACUUGCAAGAAGCAGGUGCUACCAAAAAGAAACUGCGCAAGAGCUAAAAAACAGCUUUGCAGCAACAACUCCAAAAAGGGAAGUCUCCUCCAAAAUUCUUUCCGGCAUUUACUCAUUCUAUGAAAUAAAAAAAAUAAGAAAAAAAACGAUGAUGAAAAUAAAUAAAGAAAAAAAAAGAAGAAGAGAAACUCAAAAUCAUAGUAGUAUAGGGUCUCCAAUUCCUAGCUGUGUCUUUUCCAAAAUAGGGUCCCACUUCCUAGUUGAUGCGGGCAUAACCCGAUGACUUUUCCAACAUAGAGUCUCACUCCCUAGUUGAUGCCGGCAUAACCCCAUGACUUUUUCAACAUAGGGUCCCACUCCCUAGUUGAUGUCGGCAUAACCCCAUGACUUUUCCAACAUAGGGUCUCACUCCCUAGUUGAUGUCGGCAUAACCCGAUGCCAGCAAAACCUAAUGCCAACAUAGGGUAACCACUCCCUAGUUGAUGCCAGCAUAACCUGAUGCCCACAUAGGGUCACCAUUCCCUAGUUGAUGCCGACAUAGGGUCUCCACUCCCUAGUUGAUGUCAGCAUAACCUGAUGCCAACAUAGGGUCACCACUCCCUAGUUGAUGAUUUUCCAACAAUAGAGUUUCCAAUCCCUAGUUGAUUUUAUUUUAGAUAUAUGGGUCUCCACUCCUUAAUAUCUUUUUCCCAAGGAUACACAAUCUCGACAUUUUAUUUGCUUUUAAUAAUGAAGUAGUAUAGAGUUUUGCUACCAAUAACUCACGAAAGUUUCCUAGUGAAAACUGGGGCAGAAAUAUUUUGUUCGUUUGUUUGUUUGGGUGCCUGAGCAGGUUUUACCUCGAGGCACGGGUUCGAGACGACUAAAAGAAGAAGUCUCAAUCCAAAAUAAAAGAAAAAGAAGAAAAGAAAUGAAGUGAACACAAUUCAGAAGCGGAGAAAAGAUGUGGACUGCUCAAGAAAUGAUUAAUAUCACAAGCUUUGCAUGUCACGCCUUGAUCCGAGAAGCUGAAAAGAAUGAACCAGCACCUAUAGCUAACAAGCAUCAAGAUUCGGAUCAGAGUCUACGUGAAGAACGAGCUAAGACUCAAGAUCAAGCUUCAAAAGACUCAUAGAUAGGAAUCCUGUAACUUGUAGCUGAUAGGCUUAGUUAGUUUUUUUCAUUUUGACUUUGAUGUAAUAGCAGGACCACGGACCGGAUCCUCGACGGGACCUCACUCGACACUCGAACUUGGCAUUCCAUCAUUCUCCUUGAACUACACGCGACCUGAUUCUCAUAUGACCCAGGAUAUGUAGGUUGUCCAAAACAAGGACUCGGUUGCACUCUUUUCUUUUAGUUUCUUCCCUUUUAAUAAUAAAAAAUAAAUAAUGGUUUGGUCAAAAAUUAGUCAUAUCGCUCAUCUUUUCUUUGCCUGAAAACUCUUCAUGUUUCCAAGCAACGAGGGGCAUGCUGUAAGCACCUAAUUUUUGACCAUAUUUUAAUUUUUCACCACUUUUUCGUAUGUAAAUAUUUUUUAAGUUUAACCUACGCAUUUUAGCUCUUGUUUUACCUUUUUAUAGGUUUUACUUAGAAAUUGAAAAUGAUGAAAAAGAGUCACAUUUUUUUGAUAAAUUUUGUUUUCAUUUACAAAAGAAAAAGAACAAAUUAAAAUUUUGUUAAGACUACUAAUAUGAAAUUUUCUUUAGUAGAUUUCUGUAUUUUUCUAGUCUAAACGUAUUAAUGUAGUAUUUUGAUUUUAGAUUAUCUUGAAAAGAAAGAAUUAAUAAAAAAUGAUGAUACAAUUAGGUUCUGCCACUUAAAAUAACUAGCAAGAUUCUAUUAGACCAUGAUCAUAUUUUGUCUUGAUUCUCGUGGACACACUCACAUUUUUCUUUUAUAUAUUUUUCCUCCUCACAUGUUACACUACACUUUUCAUUUCUUAAUUUACUAAGCUCACGUACUAACAGUUAAUUCAAUUGGAGUCACUCACCUCACGCGCACUCAUGCUACAAUGCUAGGAGUCCAUAUUUUGUUCUUAUCUUUUUUGGUAUCUAACAAAUUGUGAGCGCCACAGGAUCUUCCACCCACUUUCUCCACACAUAUCCAUUGCACAUAAUAUUCCCUCCAGCUCAUAUAACUCUGGCCCCAAAAAAAAUCUUGAGGGCACUCUAUAUAUAUCAACAGAUUUGAUAGAAAGAAGAAGAAAAAAAAAGGAAACCUAGAGAUAAAAAUAGCUAAGCGGCGCAGCAGAAACUCCAGAAAACAAAAAAUAGUUGCACCUCUUUCUUUUUUCCCUUCAACCCAUCAUCAUCUUCAACCCACAAAAUAUCCAUGAAAACCACCAUCUUUCCUCCAUAAAACCCACUUAAAAACAGCCUUUUAAACCUAACAAAAUCCACUCAAAUCCAUCGUCAAACUCCAAGAAAAACUGUCCAAAAAUAAAAUUAAACUACAACCAAAUCAAACCCGAAAACGCCCCAAAAUCUAGCUCCAAAGUGACCCAAAACGUCACCCAAACCACCCCCGAAACCACCUCAAAACAGGCCCCCAAAACUCAGUAAAAUUAGCCCCAAAAAUCAUCCACAAAACAGCUCCAAAGAGCAGCCAAAUCAGCUGCGAAAUUGCUGAAAAAAACCAGUCCAAAACCCCCAGAAAAGUUGUCCCAAAAUCAGUGCCAAAAAUCUGACAAAACACCAUCCGAAACCAGCCACAAGCCUCCAUCGAAAUGACCCCUUUAUACUCGAAAUAGUUGUCCAAAUCUAGUCGAGUCAGUAUCAUUUUCGUGUAGAUCUUGUUUUGAGAUCGCCAUCGAAGUUAUGGUCGAUUGAUUCUAUAACAUUUGAAGGUCCUUGUUUUGCUCUUGCUUCGGUCAAAUUGUAGUUGUUGUUUCCUUGUAUUUUGACAUUGGCAGCGGUGCUUCAAUGUAAAGGAAGUUUCCAGCAAUAAGGUCCAAUAUUUAAACUUAUGUUAUCUCAAUUUGGUCUUGCUAGCAUAGUCAAUGAUUCUGGUUAUUUGUUGCUAUUCCAUAUUAUCUUGUCUUUCGUAGUAGUCUUAAUUACCUAGACUUUUGUCUUAAGCUAUGACUUGAUUUGUGAGAUUCAUGCUCAGCUCAUUAUUUACAACUUAAUAUCUGUUGUAUGUUGAUUUGCUAUUUCCCCUCGGUAUAGUUAAUGCAUUGGCGUCAUGGUUGAUUAAAGAAACUAUUAUUUGAAUUCAUGGGAAGUGUAGGAUAGUUAAUCGUGUUGGGUUUUUGUAAAUUUUCGGGUUUAUGGUAAUUGAUGUAAUUUUGGGCUUUACUUUAUCCUUACCCUUUAGUAUUCGGGUCAUUAGCACUUGGUUUGAGAUAAGUGAUUUGGCCUAUUUUACAUAAACAGAUAAUUGCUCGAUUACUCUAAAUAGCUUAAAAACUUCAUGUAUUCCAAACACCUCUAUUUCCAUAAGUCAUGGCCUUACAACAAACUUAAAACUAGUGUAGGAAAAUAAUCACACAACCGUAGUUUGCUUUAGGCGUGAUUAAUAAAUCAUCCUGGUCAUGGGUACGGUUCCCGUGGCAUGGUCAUGAUAUAUAAUUUCCAAUUCGGGUGUGCAUUUUAUAUGACCCGACCACAACUAAAAACAAUAUAAAAAUAAACAUGUCGUAAAUCGCGGGUGCAUUUCAUGUUGCGUGCUUUGCAAUGUGUACCAAAACGACAAGUGUACGACAUCGUGACUUGUUUCAAAAAUAAUUCCAUAAAUAAAUAAAAGCAGUUAUAAAGUUUAAAAUACACAACAGGUUUAAAAUAUGUAAUAAAUUAGAUAAUUAGGCCAGUUAUUAAUAGUUGAGCGACCGUGCUAAAACUACGGAAUCCAGGAGUGCCUCACACCUUCUCCCAGGUUAAUAGAAUUCCUUACCCGGUCUUCUGUAAUCGCAGACCAAAAAUAAAGUUAAUUUCCUCGAUUUGGGAUUUAAAAUAAAUCGGUGACUUGGGACACCAUAAACUAUUCCAAGUGGCGGCUCUAAAAAAUCAAAUAAAUAAUCUCAUUUCGAUUAAUGUCACUUUAAUUGGAAAAACUCCCCGAUCUCCUUCGGGAAAAAGGUCUGUUACUUCUUCCGAUAAGGACCAUGCUGCUUAGGCUUUGUAAUUUUUGUAAUUUUUCGUUUUUGUUUUGAGGCCGAUUGGCCCUUAUAAAUAACUCUUAAUCGGGCCAUAUGGCCCUUGUAAAAAGAGUUUUGAGAUAUAUGUAAAAACUUUAUUUCCUUCCAUGGCUUCUGA